GAAAUGCGAUAAGUAAUGUGAAUUGCAGAAUUCAGUGAAUCAUCGAAUCUUUGAACGCACCUUGCGCUCCUUGGUAUUCCUUGGAGCAUGCCUGUUUGAGUAUCAUGAAAUCUUCAAAGUAAAUCUUUUGUUAACUCAAUUGGUUUCUACUUUGGUAUUGGAGGUCUUUGCAGCUUCACACCUGCUCCUCUUUGUUCAUUAGCUGGAUCUCAGUGUUAUGCUUGGUUCCACUCGGCGUGAUAAGUUAUCUAUCGCUGAGGACACUGUAAAAGGUGGCCAAGGUAAAUGCAGAUGAACUGCUGCUAAUAGUCCAUUGACUUGGACAAUACUUUUAUGAUCUGAUCUCAAAUCAGGUAGGACUACCCGCUGAACUUAAGC
This 378-nucleotide unclassified non-coding RNA is filed under the name plant metagenome. RNAcentral's name for it is "partial contains 5.8S ribosomal RNA, internal transcribed spacer 2, and large subunit ribosomal RNA". The stretch from base 1 to 105 matches the Rfam family "5.8S ribosomal RNA", at positions 50 to 154 of the family's 154-position model. The record is from RNAcentral.